This is an RNA transcript of Sphaerodactylus townsendi, 3662 nucleotides long. It is a transcript of the gene named armadillo repeat containing 7, with no coding region annotated. The transcript has 5 exons. The record is from RefSeq and is a predicted model, not a curated record. NCBI's taxonomy places the organism in Eukaryota, Metazoa, Chordata, Lepidosauria, Squamata, Sphaerodactylidae.
UUGAAACCGGAAGUGUUGAUAUGGACUGAAGCUUUCCCCCCCUACCUUUAGAGUGCUGCAACUCUAUGGUUCCCGGCAUUUCUUAGAGGCAACUUCCGACCUGUAGGAGGGGUUUCUUUCCCCCUGCCUUCCAUCAAACUCUUGCAGGAUGGUUUGCACAGGAGCUUAUGACGGUGGGGGAAGUUGCAAUAUAAAGUGACCGAGAGUGUGAAGCGCUCUCAGGAUAGCAGUAUCAUGUCCCAAAACCAGCAGGAUCUGCAAGGUCUGAGUCGACUUGAAUACCUACAAGCCCUCGUUACUGAAUUCCAAGUAACCAAAAGUUCUGAAGCCAAGGAGCAAGUACUAGCUAAUUUAGCUAAUUUUGCUUAUGAUCCGAAGAACUAUGACUAUCUCCGGCAGCUCAAGGUCUUGGACCUGUUCCUGGAUAUGCUCACAGAGGAUAACGACACCCUUGUGGAAUUUGCACUUGGUGGCCUUUGUAACUUAUGCUUGGACAAAAUCAACAAAGACUACCUCUUGGAGGCUGAUGGGGUAGCAGCUGUGAUCAACUGCCUGUCACGUUCAAAUGAGGAGACUGUGAUGUCUGCGGUCACCACUCUGAUGUACCUGACCACACCCCAGUCUCGCCAGCAGAUCACUGCUCUUCCUGUAGUGGAGUGCAUGCUGCGUUUCUCUCUCUCUGCCAACAGGAGGUUGUCCAACCUGGCAACUAUCUUCCUUGAAGACUACUGCAGCCCUCUGCAAGUAGAGGAGGCCAGGAAUCUUACCAAACACACAGCUUUAGGGAUCCCCUUGCCAAAGAAUUAAUGCAUCAGCAAGGCCUUUCUUCUUUGAAAAGUGGCUCAUCUUCCUGCCAGUAUACCAGAGGAAAUCAUUACAGGAAUUCUGACCUUGCAAAUAAUUGUUACACAUUUGAGACCUUUAUUUCGGACUGACUGGUCUCAUUUAAGGAGUAAUGGGACAUUUGAAAUUUGACUAUUCAACCAUAAGGAGUCUCAAAGUGGCUUACAAACUCUUUCCCUUCCUCUCCUCACAACAGACACAUUGUGAGGUAGGUGGGGCUGAGAAAAUUCAUGGAGAACUGUGACUAGCUCAAGGUUACCCAGCAGGCUUCAUGUGCAGAAGUGGGGAAACAAAUCCGGUUCACCAGACUGCAGCAGAGCUCAUCUGAAAUGCAUUUUGUAAGCUUGCAAUUAUACACCAUUGCUUUUGCCAACAGAAACACAGAGUUGGAAGGGACCUCAAGAGUCAUCUAGUCCAAUUUCCUGCUCAAUGCAGGAAAUUCACCCCUGUACUAUGACCCCUGCACUGUGGCCUGAGAAAGGCAAAAAACCUCCAGGAUCUUUGGCAUGGAGGAAAAUUCCUUCCUGACCCUAAAGUGGCAAUCGGCAUUACCCUGGGCAUGUAAGAAAGGGUCAUGAGCACCAAACACUGACGCAUUCCUUCCUGCCGUCCCUCUCAUUAUCUGCCUCACAGAAUCAGCAAUGCUGUCAGAUGGCCUCUACUUAAAAGCCUCCAAACAGAGGCCUCCUUAUAAUAAACAGCACUUGGGGUAAGCAGUGAAACUGUGCCCCCUCUCCAUGGUAUGGCUGCUGGUACCCCUCCCCCCAUUUAACACUUUUUCUCUUCUAUCUCCCACUGUCCACAACCAUUGGAAUCCAGGUCUCUCUGAGAGAGAAGCGACAGAGAGGGUGAUAUACUUUUUCCUUUCUCUCCCUCUCUUCCCUCCCUCUUUUUCCCCUCCUCUUUUUCCCCCCAUGUUCUGAGAUCAGACAUCUUGCCAGCAGCCCGCAGGACAGCUACAUGAAGGGCGGCGCGACCCUUUCCCUCGGAGCCCCUCAUUUACUUUUAUGGAGAAAUUGCCUUUUUAACUUUAAUUUUUCUCCCAACUUGUUUGUAGCUGUUUUAGCUAAAGGUCACACCCGAGCUGUGAAUUAUUUCCUUCCUAGUUAGGAUUUCAACAACCCCUUUCAAGUAUUUGCACCUGAUAGCAACAAUGACUUUGCACCAAACUGUUUUGUUAAUUAGGGUUAGCGUGUGAUCGGUCUGUUUAUGCCACCUGACCAGCAGUUUUGUAUAACUGCCCAACAUUCAGAGAAGCACUUCUACAUCUACUUCCACUCUCAUUUUUAUUAUUCUCUUGACUCAUCUGAGCAUAACCUUUUCUUUUUCAGCCUGCUAUCUUAGGCAAUUUGAAGCUGUUAGCCUCUGCCAGCCAGUUCUUAUCAGCAAUACUUUUUCGUCUCUUGCUUUGCUUGCUUUUUGUUUUGAAGCUAUGCUACCAAUGUUUUAUGUCGUUAUUUUAAUCUUUAGCUAUUUUUUCCUGUUAUUUUGUUUAUUGAGCAUGUGCUGUACUCAAUAAACCUUAAAAAUAUUUUAUUCAAUUUUUUAGCCUCUGAGUCUUGUGUGCACCCCAAAUCCUGACUCACGUUUGAGAAGUGGCUAGUCAGCACAUUCUCUACAACUUUUCUCUGGCUUCUGCCAAUUACUUUCUGGCAAACUCACUUUGCUUGGGGCACUGUGGCAGCCGUUGGCCUGCUCUGGUAACUUCACUGGGGAGCCAGCCAGGGGCAGGAGGGGAAGGCGGCACCCAAAGCUGUGCCUCAGCAUCAGUCCCCUCUUCAGCCUGGCCUGCAUCUUCUCUCACUUCCACCUUCCUGGCCUGUGCGGGGUGGGGGGGGGGGAGCCAUGACAUGCACAAGUGGUACCUAGGUCCCACAAUCCUCCCUUAGAUCCGCAUCUGCCACCAAAGAAAGCGAGCUCAUCACCUUGCAAGGAAGCUUGUUCCACUGAGGAACCACUCUAUCAAGAAAUCAUUCCAAACUUUAGUCGAAAACUGUUUUAUUUUGAACCAUUUGAUUCAGAUCUGACCUUCUGGGGCUACAGAAAACAGCUCCAACUAUUAUCCAUAUGACAGCCCUUCCUGUUAUCUGACUCCCUGUACAGAUCCUGGUGACUCCCUACAGAAUCUUUUUAGUGAAAUAAAUUCUUCACUUCGAACCAGAGUUGGAUCCUAAGAAGUGUAUGCAGGUGGUGGUCAUCUUUGUCACCUCCCUGUUCCCAAGGUAGUCCUCCCACCAAGGCCUCCCCAAAGCUGAUGCUGAAGGUUGUGGGGUCCAUCUGGACAAAAAGGCACAUAAGCCUUGUGGCUGACCAACAAUCAUUCCCACUUCAGUCUUGUGGCAACAAAAGUACCACUAUUCAAAAAGGACUAUGGGGCUGAUUUUGACCAGUUCCUCAGGUUGGGUGGCUUUCUGUUCACAUAAGUUUUAGGAAAUUCCUGGGAAAAUGAGAAGGUGGGAAAGACAUGUGACUUCAUAGAAUCAAACCCAUAUUUCUUUUCCCCUGUGGUCUCUUUUCUGAGGAAAAAAACUUUGAAAAGUCCCAAGAGGUAACAGUAAACAGGUCAUGAAGACAUGAGAAUACAUAAAGAGAUACAGUGUGAUCUGCAUUAAUUUUUUUGCCAUCAAGUCACAGCUGGUUUAUGGCAAUCCUAUGGGGUUUUCUAGGUAAGAGACAUUCAGAGGUGGUUUGCCAUUGCCUCCCUCUGUGUCAUAACCCUGGUAUUCCUUGAUCUGCAUAGAAAUGUAACAAUCUCUGUUGUUUUUUUAAAGUUUCUUGGUCUAUUGGCUCUACCGUUUUUAAUAAAGUAGAGGUAAAGA